GGUCCCAUAGUCUAGUGGUUAUGACAUUGGACUUUGAAUCCAGGAACCUAAGCUCAAAUCUCGGUGGGACCU
Picea glauca (white spruce) is the source of this 72-nucleotide non-coding RNA. The record is from Rfam. NCBI's taxonomy places the organism in Eukaryota, Viridiplantae, Streptophyta, Pinopsida, Pinales, Pinaceae.